RNAcentral lists this ribosomal RNA (364 nucleotides) under uncultured bacterium. RNAcentral describes it as "bacterial SSU rRNA". It matches the Rfam family "Bacterial small subunit ribosomal RNA", at positions 28 to 418 of the family's 1533-position model. The record is from RNAcentral.
GACGAACGCUGGCGGCAGGCCUCAAACAUGCAAGUCUAGGGGGUGCAGCAAUGCAUCACCGGCGGACGGGUGCGUAACGCGUGGGAAUAUACCUAUUGGUUCGGAACAACUGCGGGAAACUGCAGCUAAUACCGAAUGUGCCCUAACGGGGAAAGAUUUAUCGCCAAUGGAUUAGCCCGCGUAGGAUUAGCUAGUUGGUGGGGUAAUGGCUCACCAAGGCUCCGAUCCUUAGCUGUUCUGAGAGGAAGAUCAGCCACACUGGGACUGAGACACGGCCCAGACUCCUACGGGAGGCAGCAGUUGGGAAUCUUGGACAAUGGGGGAAACCCUGAUCCAGCCAUGCCGCGUGAGUGAUGAAGGCCUU